Molecule: ribosomal RNA, 219 nt
Filed under: uncultured bacterium
Lineage: Bacteria
Description: partial 16S ribosomal RNA
Rfam family: Bacterial small subunit ribosomal RNA
Source: RNAcentral
UCAGAUGUAGAAACGGCCCGGGGUACUUAACCGUACGGUAAUUGCUAUUUAGAAACGUGGACGAGGCUAGAGUCUUGUAGAGGGGGUAGAAUUUCAGGUGUAGCGGUGAAAAUGCGUAGAGAUCUGAAGGAAUACCAGUGGCGAAGGCGGCCCCCUGGACAAAGACUGACGCUCAGAUGCGAAAGCGUGGGGAGCAAACAGGAUUAGAUACCCUGGUAG